CAAGAGUUUGAUCCUGGCUCAGGACGAACGCUGGCGGCGUGCUUAACACAUGCAAGUCGAGCGGGGACAGAGACUUCGGUUGAUGUUCUAGCGGCGGACGGGUGAGUAACGCGUGAGCAAUCUGCCUUUCGGUGAGGAAUAACAGGGAGAAAUCGCUGCUAAUACCUCAUGACGCAACGAAGUCGCAUGGCUUUGUUGCCAAAGAUUUAUCGCCGAAAGAUGAGCUCGCGUCCGAUUAGGUAGUUGGUGAGAUAAAAGCCCACCAAGCCGACGAUCGGUAGCCGAACUGAGAGGUUGAACGGCCACAUUGGAACUGAGAUACGGUCCAGACUCCUACGGGAGGCAGCAGUGGGGAAUAUUGGGCAAUGGGCGCAAGCCUGACCCAGCGACGCUGUGUGAGGGAAGAAGGUCUUCGGAUUGUAAACCUUUGUCAACAGGGACGAAACAAAUGACGGUACCUGUGGAGGAAGCCACGGCUAACUACGUGCCAGCAGCCGCGGUAAGAUCACCU
This 511-nucleotide ribosomal RNA is filed under the name uncultured bacterium. RNAcentral's name for it is "bacterial SSU rRNA". It matches the Rfam family "Bacterial small subunit ribosomal RNA", at positions 1 to 528 of the family's 1533-position model. The record is from RNAcentral.